GUGCCAGCAGCCGCGGUAAUACGUAGGUGGCAAGCGUUGUCCGGAUUUACUGGGCGUAAAGAGCGCGCAGGCGGUCGGAUCAGUCGAAUGUGAAAGCCCCCGGCUCAACUGGGGAGGGUCAUUCGAUACUGUCCGACUCGAAGGCAGGAGAGGGAAGCGGAAUUCCCGGUGUAGUGGUGAAAUGCGUAGAUAUCGGGAGGAACACCAGUGGCGAAGGCGGCUUUCUGGCCUGUUCUUGACGCUGAGGCGCGAAAGCUAGGGGAGCGAACGGGAUUAGAAACCCCAGUAGUCC
Molecule: ribosomal RNA, 292 nt
Filed under: uncultured bacterium
Lineage: Bacteria
Description: partial 16S ribosomal RNA
Rfam family: Bacterial small subunit ribosomal RNA
Source: RNAcentral